RNAcentral lists this transfer RNA (74 nucleotides) under Enterococcus dispar. Its description in RNAcentral is "tRNA-Met". It matches the Rfam family "tRNA". From Rfam's summary of the family: Transfer RNA (tRNA) molecules are approximately 80 nucleotides in length. The record is from RNAcentral. Lineage: Bacteria; Bacillati; Bacillota; Bacilli; Lactobacillales; Enterococcaceae.
GUACCCUUAGAUCAGUUGGCCAGAGCAGACAGUUCAUAACCGUCCGGUCGUAGGUUCGAGUCCUACAGGGCACA